UCUCCGUAGGUGAACCUGCGGAAGGAUCAUUACCGAGUAAGGGUCUUCGGGCCCGAUCUCCAACCCUUUGUUUAACUAAAAUGUUGGUUUGGCGGGCCCAUCCCACCACCGCCGGACGUAUGGCUUCGACAGAACCCCUGGACCGUGCCUGUUUGUGGCCCCUUCUAGUUUUUCAUUAAAUAUAAUGUUUUAACUAAGAACCUAUAAGUUCAAACUUUCAACAACGGAUCACUUGGUUCGAGCAUCGAAGAACAACGCAGCAGAUCGGAGUAGAAAACG
RNAcentral lists this unclassified non-coding RNA (279 nucleotides) under plant metagenome. Its description in RNAcentral is "partial contains small subunit ribosomal RNA, internal transcribed spacer 1, and 5.8S ribosomal RNA". The record is from RNAcentral.